UCCCGUUUAGCUCAGUUGGUAGAGCGCGUCACUAGUACCCUAUGCAUGGGCUAUGACGAGGUCAGUCGUUCGAGUCGGCUAAUGGGAA
Trametes coccinea BRFM310 is the source of this 88-nucleotide non-coding RNA. The record is from the annotation of a GenBank genome assembly. NCBI's taxonomy places the organism in Eukaryota, Fungi, Basidiomycota, Agaricomycetes, Polyporales, Polyporaceae.